GUUAGUCUCUAAGGUGCCACAAGUACUCCUUUUCUUUUCGCCGUCGGGAAUGUAACUCAAAUACUUUCCUGAUGGACUGUUUUUUCCUCUAAAUGGACAACCAAUCCUAAAUUCUCAAUUACUGAGGGACAAUAUUCACUCAUUGAUAUAUUUUGCUUUCUGC
Long non-coding RNA from Dermochelys coriacea (leatherback sea turtle), 163 nucleotides. RefSeq lists it as uncharacterized. The record is from RefSeq and is a predicted model, not a curated record. The transcript is spliced from 3 exons. NCBI's taxonomy places the organism in Eukaryota, Metazoa, Chordata, Testudines, Dermochelyidae.